This 458-nucleotide ribosomal RNA is filed under the name uncultured Pelotomaculum sp. RNAcentral's name for it is "bacterial SSU rRNA". It matches the Rfam family "Bacterial small subunit ribosomal RNA", at positions 927 to 1382 of the family's 1533-position model. Lineage: Bacteria; Bacillati; Bacillota; Clostridia; Eubacteriales; Desulfotomaculaceae. The record is from RNAcentral.
AAGCGGUGGAGCAUGUGGUUUAAUUCGACGCAACGCGAAGAACCUUACCAGGGCUUGACAUCCCCUGACCGCGUAUGAAAGUACGUUUUCACCCUCGGGUGACAGGGAGACAGGUGGUGCAUGGUUGUCGUCAGCUCGUGUCGUGAGAUGUUGGGUUAAGUCCCGCAACGAGCGCAACCCCUACGUUUAGUUGCUAACGCGUGAAGGCGAGCACUCUAGACGAACUGCCGUUGACAAAACGGAGGAAGGUGGGGAUGACGUCAAAUCAUCAUGCCCCUUAUGUUCUGGGCUACACACGUGCUACAAUGGCCGGUACAGACGGACGCAAAGCCGCGAGGUGGAGCAAAUCCUAAAAAGCCGGUCUCAGUUCGGAUUGCAGGCUGCAAUUCGCCUGCAUGAAGUCGGAAUCGCUAGUAAUCGCAGGUCAGCAUACUGCGGUGAAUACGUUCCCGGGCCUU